AGCGAACGCUGGCGGCAGGCCUAACACAUGCAAGUCGAACGAACUCUUCGGAGUUAGUGGCGGACGGGUGAGUAACACGUGGGAACGUGCCUUUUGGUUCGGAAUAACUCAGGGAAACUUGUGCUAAUACCGAAUGUGCCCUUCGGGGGAAAGAUUUAUCGCCAUUAGAGCGGCCCGCGUCUGAUUAGCUAGUUGGUGAGGUAACGGCUCACCAAGGCGACGAUCAGUAGCUGGUCUGAGAGGAUGACCAGCCACACUGGGACUGAGACACGGCCCAGACUCCUACGGGAGGCAGCAGUGGGGAAUCUUGCGCAAUGGGCGAAAGCCUGACGCAGCCAUGCCGCGUGAAUGAUGAAGGUCUUAGGAAUGUAAAAUUCUUUCACCGGGGACGAUAAUGACGGUACCCGGAGAAGAAGCCCCGGCUAACUUCGUG
RNAcentral lists this ribosomal RNA (433 nucleotides) under uncultured bacterium. RNAcentral describes it as "partial 16S ribosomal RNA". It matches the Rfam family "Bacterial small subunit ribosomal RNA", at positions 29 to 507 of the family's 1533-position model. The record is from RNAcentral.